Molecule: RNA transcript, 1758 nt
Organism: Notolabrus celidotus (New Zealand spotty)
Lineage: Eukaryota; Metazoa; Chordata; Actinopteri; Labriformes; Labridae
Gene: tmem68
Gene name: transmembrane protein 68
Exons: 8
Source: RefSeq, a predicted model, not a curated record
ACCCAACAGUUCUUCAUGUGUGUGUUCCCGUCACAGUGUUUUCUGUUUGGUCCACAGGUGUGUGUGUUCCACGCGCUGGAGGACUGGGCAGGCCUGGGUCAGGUGGAGGACUAUCUGAGUGUUCUGGAGUACCUGCUGUGGGUGUUCACCCCUUUGGCCAUCGUCUUCAUCCUGCCCUUCCUCAUCGUCAUCCUCCUGUAUCUCUCCAUACUCUUCCUCCAUGUUUAUAAGAGGAAGAAUCAGCUGAGGGAGGCUUACAGCAACAACUUGUGGGACGGAGCCAGGAAGACCCUGGCUACUCUGUGGGACGGACACGGAGCCAUCUGGCAUGGCUACGAGAUCCAUGGACUGGAGAAGAUCCCAGACAAAGGACCAGCCCUGAUCGUGUACUACCAUGGAGCCAUCCCCAUAGACUACUAUUACUUUCUGGCCAACGUUAUCAUCCAAAAGGGCCGGACCUGUCACUCUGUAGCUGACCACUUCCUCUUCAAGAUCCCAGGUUUCAAGCUGCUGCUGGAGGUGUUCAGUGUGAUCCAUGGUCCUCAGGAGGAGUGUGUGAGGGCCCUGAAGAACGGUCACCUGUUGGGGAUCUCUCCAGGAGGAGUGCGGGAGGCUCUGUUCAGCGACGAGACGUACCCUCUGCUCUGGGGCAAACGGAGAGGCUUUGCACAGGUCGCCAUCGACUCUCAAGUGCCAGUAAUUCCAAUGUUUACGCAGAAUUUGCGGGAAGGCUUCAGAUCUCUGGGAACCCUCAGAUUCUAUCGCUGGGUGUAUGAAACGUUCCGUCUCCCUAUAGCUCCCAUUUAUGGAGGAUUUCCUGUCAAGUUUCGUACCUUCCUCGGCGAUCCCAUCCCGUAUGACCCCAACCUGAACGCUGCCGAGCUGGCGGAGAAGGUGCAGCAGGCGGUCCAGUCUCUGAUAGACCGGCACCAGCAGAUCCCAGGGAACAUCUUGCGAGCUUUGUUGGAGAGAUUUCACUCCAAACACAAAGAGCAAUAACAUCAGGUGAACACCAGAGACAGACUGUCCAGAGUGAGACCAAAACAACACGAUGGUCCGACGGCUUCAGUGUGCACAGAAUCUAGGUCCUAAUUGAUGCUUGACUGCAGCUGUGGAGGUUCUGAGGCUGCCACCCUUAGCUGCUGUUCAGACCGACCUGCACAGAAGAACUGACUUCAAAUGAAGACGUGAUGAUAACAAAAAACAAAUGUGCAGUCCAAGCAGAGAUUGCAAGAGAUAUUUCCCUAGAGUUGUUUCUGUGUGUCCUUAGAUAUGUGACUUAAACUCCAGAGUCAAAGUAAAGGCAGUCAUCUACAGCAGAAAGAGUGAUAGAAUCUGAACCCUCUUCUCUCUCUCUCUAAAGAAGACUGAUCUUUGUGAUUUAAGUCAGUGGAGUGCCCACAGCUCUUUUAACUCCUUGGAUGGCAGCAUGCAUGAGAAGUUUAUAACACUGUACCUCAGCUGAAGAUAAAGAUGUCAUGAUAAUAAAUCACAUCCUGAUCCUGGUGGGAUAAAAACACUAACAGCUAACCAACAGACGUUUCAUCAGGUCUGCAGAAUCCACAUCAGCCUGGUCCGGGUCCCGGUCCCACACAGAGCCUUAAUAAAGACGCUUUAAAGACAGCUCAUGAAACCCUCUAGUUACUGUAAUACUCGUGCUUUAUCAUCGGUGUUGUGAACUAAUCAUUGGUCAUGUAUUAAUUGUGGUUUUGAGUCUCUUAGUGUCUCUGUAAGUAAACUUUGUGAUUUAAUGAAUAA